RNAcentral lists this non-coding RNA (84 nucleotides) under Clostridia bacterium. Its description in RNAcentral is "c-di-GMP sequence". It matches the Rfam family "c-di-GMP-I riboswitch aptamer". Rfam says of the family: GEMM was predicted in a large-scale screen for bacterial structured RNA regulatory elements. The record is from RNAcentral. Lineage: Bacteria; Bacillati; Bacillota; Clostridia.
ACACCGAAAGGGCAAACCGUCCGUAAGGACGGGGCGCAAAGCCGGGCGCAGGGGGAAAGCAUCUCUGCACGACCGGCUGCCGAA